This 468-nucleotide ribosomal RNA is filed under the name uncultured bacterium. RNAcentral's name for it is "partial 16S ribosomal RNA". It matches the Rfam family "Bacterial small subunit ribosomal RNA", at positions 28 to 507 of the family's 1533-position model. The record is from RNAcentral.
GACGAACGCUGGCGGCGUGCCUAACACAUGCAAGUCGAACGGAAAGGCCGUGCUUUUGUGGGCUGGUCGAGUUGCGAACGGGUGAGUAACACGUGGGUAACCUGCCCUUGACCUUGGGAUAACUUCAGGAAACUGGGGCUAAUACCGCAUAGGAGCUCUUGCUGCAUGGUGGGGGUUGGAAAGUUUCGGUUGUUGGGGAUGGAAUCGCGGCUUAUCAGCUUGAUGGUGGGGUAGUGGCUUACCAAGACUUUGACGGGUAGCCGGCCUGGGAGGGGGACAGGCCCCAUUGGAACUGGGAUACGGCCCGGACGCCUACGGUACGCAGCGGUGGGGAAUAGUGCACUAUGGGCGGAAGGCGGACGCAGCAACGCCGCGUGGGGGAUGUCGGCCUUCGGGUUGUAAACCGCUUUCGCCUGUGACGAAGCGUGAGUGACGGUAACGGGUAAAUAAGCACCGGCUAACUACGUG